GGGCCCGUAGCUCAGUUGGUUAGAGCAGGCGACUCAUAAUCGCUUGGCCGCAGGUUCGAGUCCUGCCGGGCCCA
RNAcentral lists this transfer RNA (74 nucleotides) under Actinomycetes bacterium. Its description in RNAcentral is "tRNA-Ile". It matches the Rfam family "tRNA". Rfam says of the family: Transfer RNA (tRNA) molecules are approximately 80 nucleotides in length. Their secondary structure includes four short double-helical elements and three loops (D, anti-codon, and T loops). Further hydrogen bonds mediate the characteristic L-shaped molecular structure. tRNAs have two regions of fundamental functional importance: the anti-codon, which is responsible for specific mRNA codon recognition, and the 3' end, to which the tRNAs corresponding amino acid is attached (by aminoacyl-tRNA synthetases). tRNAs cope with the degeneracy of the genetic code in two manners: having more than one tRNA (with a specific anti-codon) for a particular amino acid; and 'wobble' base-pairing, i.e. permitting non-standard base-pairing at the 3rd anti-codon position. Lineage: Bacteria; Bacillati; Actinomycetota; Actinomycetes. The record is from RNAcentral. RNAcentral also lists the same sequence under 4 other names.